CCUCCUUUCUUCCUCCUUGGGGCAUUUUGCGCAAUGCUCGUAAGAGUGACGCAGCGACGCCGCGGGAAUGACGAAGGCCUUCGGGUCGUAAAGUUCUUUCGACAGGGAAGAAAAUGCCUAUAAGUAACUGUGUAUGUAUUGACGGUACCUGUAUAAGCAGCCCCGGCUAACUCCGUGCCAGCAGCCGCGGUAAUACGGAGGGGGCGAGCGUUGUUCGGAGUGACUGGGCGUAAAGAGCACGUAGGCGGUGUUGUAAGUCAUUAGUCAAAGACUAGAGCUCAACUUUAGUAAGGCUAGUGAUACUAUAAUACUAGAGUAUCAGAGAGGAUUGCAGAAUUCCUGGUGUAGCGGUGAAAUGCGUAGAUAUCAGGAGGAAUACCGUUAGCGAAGGCGGCAAUCUGGCUGGAAACUGACGCUGAGGUGCGAAAGCGUGGGUAGCAAACAGGAUUAGAUACCCGUGUAGUC
This 465-nucleotide ribosomal RNA is filed under the name uncultured bacterium. Its description in RNAcentral is "partial 16S ribosomal RNA". It matches the Rfam family "Bacterial small subunit ribosomal RNA", at positions 61 to 795 of the family's 1533-position model. The record is from RNAcentral.